Molecule: RNA transcript, 2215 nt
Organism: Mangifera indica (mango)
Lineage: Eukaryota; Viridiplantae; Streptophyta; Magnoliopsida; Sapindales; Anacardiaceae
Exons: 10
Source: RefSeq, a predicted model, not a curated record
UUUGUAUUUUCUUAUUCUCUCUCGGGCAAAGGGUAUCGCGCACAACUCAACCUCAGUUAAAUGGGUACCAUUUCUUGUUGCAGACUCCCUUACUGUCAUAACUUAGUCGUUGACAAUUUUGCCUCCCAAAAAUCCCUCUUUCUCAAGAAUCAAACUUGCAGAGUGAAAGCAUUCAGACCCUCCACGGCAUUAUCAUUGUCUUCCAUACCGAAUUCUCACCGAGUCAAAGCAUCUUCGACAGUUGUGAAUGAGGAACUGAAGGGUGAGUCGUCUGGUUUGGUGGGAGAGAAUGAUUUGCUUAUUGUUGGUCCCGGGGUUCUGGGUCGCUUAGUUGCUGAUAAAUGGAGGCAGGAACAUCCAGGGAGUCAAAUUUAUGGUCAGACAGUGACAACUGAUCAUCAUGAUGAAUUGAUCGAGAUGAGGAUUAAUCCAUCUUUGAAAGGGACUGAAGUGACUCAGAAGUUUCCAUAUGUGAUUUUUUGUGCUCCUCCAUCCCGAACUUCAGACUACCCUGGUGAUGUCAGGCUUGCUGUGACGAGUUGGAAUGGUGAAGGCUCUUUCUUGUUUACAUCAAGCUCUGCACCAUAUGACUGCUUUGACAAUGGAUCAUGUGAUGAGGAUAGUCCAAUUGUGCCAAUUGGGAGGAGUCCCCGGACAGAUGUUCUCCUAAAAGCUGAGAAAGUGGUGCUAGAAUUUGGUGGUUGUAUUGUCAGAUUGGCUGGACUUUAUAAAGCAGAUAGAGGUGCGCAUUUCUAUUGGUUACAGAAGGGGACUGUUGAAGUUCGCCCAGAUCACAUCCUGAAUUUGAUACACUAUGAGGAUGCAGCUUCCUUAUCAGUUGCGAUUUUGAAGAAAAAGCUUCGUGGUCAAAUUUUCUUGGGUUGUGAUAACCAUCCUUUAUCCAGGCAGGAAGUAAUGGACUUGGUUAGUAAAAGCGGGAAAUUCAGUCAACAGUUUGAGGGCUUUACAGGUACUAGCGAUCCUUUAGGUAAGAGAUUAAACAACUCAAAAACUCGAGAAGAGAUAGGGUGGGAGCCAAAAUAUCCCAGCUUUGCUCAAUUCCUUGGACUGUCUUGAGUAAUUUUGCAAUGAUCUUCAAUCUUGGGAGUGAAUUAAAUCAAACUGGAAAGAAUUGGUUUAGGUGGCAUAGAGAAUGCUUUGCCAUGGAACUGAUGGAUAUUUUCUUGUUGUGAAAAUACUUUUACCCAUAUGGUGACUUGACCUGCAAAAAAUAGUAAUACCAAGUGAGUUCCUUUCUGUAUAGACAGCUGAACUGCUCCCGUUUGCAUCUUAAUACAUGGGGAUUGAUGGUUAGAUGCAUUCUUUAAUAUGUAAAAUGCAAAUCAAGCAAAUGAAACAUGGCCAACUGUGUUUAGAUCCAACAUUGGGAUGCUUAACAAUUACAGAAUCUCGCUCAGGCAAUCGAUCUUUUUAAUGUUAGUCUGGUGAAGAAGCUACUGAUGUGAUGAAAAUUUCACAUGACAAAUGAGCAACAAGGGCAUGUGAUAUGUUGGCAUUAUGACCAUGUCACGCCUAUCGAUCAUACUUUUGGAUUUGGCACCCAUCCUUAUCAGAUCAUCAUCAUCCAUUAGCCGACAUUGUAAUAAAUAAUGUCAAGUGGCCGUCUUGUUUAAUAUUUGUACUUCGAUUUAUAACAACCCUUCACUGAACUUGGGAAGAGACAAUGUAUGAGAAGGAAAAAAAGAAAGAGAAAUAUUAUCCUAUUCCUUGAAAGAGUCCAACUAAACCAAAUCCGCUUAGAAAAAUCUCCAGUUGAGUUGACUUUUGUUUGAGAUGGCAUCUUCUAUUCUCUUUAUAUAUCAUUCUUCCUUUUGAAGACAAAAAACAAAAGCCUUUGGGAAACUGGUGUUGAUUCGUAAUGGGAAAGGUCUGCUGUGAAGAGUCUGAUGAUGGUAAUGGUGGUUUCGAUCCAAUGGGAUUACUCAUUGCGCUUGUCAUAGCUCUUGUGCUCAUGGUCAUCUGCUCACCACAGCCAAGGCCAGCUGCUUACGCCGUAUACCGCUGCCGAUGAUGAGCUACUCCAUCUCUGCUUUUCUCCCUGUGCCUUUAAAGUUUCUUGUGGCUGAAUAUAAUUGGUUCUUUUCGUUACUUGACAUACUUUUUCUUGUUUAUAUAAAGAAACUGUUGUUCAGUGUUAUUUCUUAUUGUCUUUCCAAUUUCAUGUUCAAUAAUAUCAUUCUCUAAUUAGUCUUAA